This 1829-nucleotide unclassified non-coding RNA is filed under the name Bombus terrestris (buff-tailed bumblebee). RNAcentral's name for it is "misc RNA ENSBTSG00005026257.1". Lineage: Eukaryota; Metazoa; Arthropoda; Insecta; Hymenoptera; Apidae. The record is from RNAcentral.
AGCCAAGUGUAGUACUCUUAAUAGUAUACAACCAGAUAUAUCAGGAAAUGUUGUUAAUUUGUUUGAUUGCAACAUCACUGUUUCUACCUUCCUUAAUUCACCCAGAGGUGGCAACAUUUCCAACUGAUUAUAACUUGCAUUUAACUUUUGUAAUGCUAUUUUCAAAAAAUAUGUGUGCUAUUUAUUAAAUUUUUAUGUCAUACAGGAAGAAGCAGUGUGAAACUGUUUUUCUUUUAAACUGAUAUUAUACAUUAAACAUAUGAUAAAAAAAAAUUAAAUUAAACAAAUCAUAUAAAUAGACACAUUAUUGUAAAUCAUACCUCUCAUAUUUGUUAAAUCAGGUGGCAAUUCCUUUAACAUAUUAUGACCUAAAUCCAAGGAAGUUAGUCGUACUAAAUAUCCCAUCCCAAUUGGUAACUCGAUCAAGUAGGUCAACAUUACAAAGUCUCCAACUGCUGGAUCAAGCUCCUUUAUACUAUUAUUUUUUAAAUUUAAUUCAUGUAAUUCAUUUAGCUUAUAAAAUUCAUGUGGAAAUUUUUCUAAUUUAUUAUUGGAUAAAUUUAGUAUGUUUAACUUUUUUAAAUUUCCUAUUUCAGCAGGCAAAUCUUCCAACUGAUUAUUGUGCAGCUGUAAAGAUUAAAAUUUAUUACAUAGUGUUUUACAUAUAUGCAAUUUCUUCAUAUAUAAAACUGUUAUAUUUACAUACAUUUAAUGUAGUUAACUCUGUUAAAUUUUCUAUUUGUGGAUCAAUUUUCUUUAAAGUAUUACAACUUAAGUCCAAUGUCUGGAGAGGUUCCUGUUCCCACCACCUUUCAGUUUCUUGUACAUAAUCAAGCUCGAAAUGUAAAUCCCUUAUUUCUUCUUCAGUUAAAUCAUUUAUAUUCCAUACUCUAUUAGGUACUAUAAUAGAUUUUGUUAGUUUUAACAUAAUUUAACUAAUAUGGAUUUCAAUUAAACAUAAAAUAUGACACUUAUAAAAAAAUAACUUACCUUGAUACGCAUAUGAUAAUCUGAUGAUGAUACUGUAAAUAUUGCUUGCUCUAUUGCAUUAUUCACAAUCUAACAUGCAAAGCUAUCUAUGAAUCGACAUAAACAAGUAGUUUCAUGGCUACAAUUGAAAUUGAAAAGGUAAUAUAUAUAACAUUUAUUUAAUGAUUCAGAUUUCAUGCUUUACAUAUAUAAAUGGGUGCAAAAAUAAAAAAAAGUCCAAAAAUGUAAUGAAUAACUUUUAUUGUUUAUCAGUAACGAAAUUAAAAAAUGAAUUGCAACUAAAAAGCAUUAAGCUGAUAAGUAUACGUUUAUCGCUGACGUAAUAUUUUCUUUAUGAUAUAUAUAUUGAAUAAAAUACAUAAUAUUUUUGUAAGAUAAUGAUAUUUUGUACAUGUAACAAAUGUAUAAUUCAUUUCCUAUCACAAUAAAUAAAAAAACAAUAUAUAAAUUAUAAAUUAUAGAAACUAUAAUGUAAUACAGAUGUGUGAACAAACAUGCACAUUAUAGUAUAUGACUACUGCAUCGAGAUAUCAAGCGUCUGAAUGAUAUCGAAUAACAUUUAUAUAUGUAAUUUUUAAGUAAUGUGGAUACCCGUAAAUAGUCCUCUCGAUGAGAGGUUUAAGUUUCCACUCUUUCUCGCGGAUAUAAUAAUAAUUUCAGACAGUUCAGCAUUAUCGUCAUUCUUCGUUCGUUUUUUAAACACUGCUAAAUGAUUAGCUUUCUUCUUUACGCCACUCAUAUUGUAUUUAUCACGUACAUUGUUUACGCAUUGAUAUCCUCGAUACGGGAUGACUUAAUCAUGAAUGUUCCCCCACUUUGUAUGACAACGACAUGUAAAU